GGGCGUGCCCCGCGCGCAGAGUCGACCCUCCACCCGUGUUGACUUAUCUCGUGUUGCUUUGGCGGGCCGGGCUUCGCGUCCGCCGGCCCUGCGGCUGGAGCGUGUCCGCCAAAGACCCAACCUAACUCGUGGUAUCGUGUCGUCUGAGGAAAGAAUAUUGAAUCAUUAAAACUUUCAACAACGGAUCUCUUGGCUCUGGCAUCGAUGAAGAACGCAGCGAAAUGCGAUAAGUAAUGUGAAUUGCAGAAUUUAGUGAAUCAUCGAAUCUUUGAACGCACAUUGCGCCCCUUGGCAUUCCGAGGGGCAUGCCUGUUCGAGCGUCGUCACACUCCCUCACGCCGCACCGUGUGUGUGGCGUGGUGUUGGGGCUCGCCUGUUCGGCGGCCCUUAAAACGAGUGGCGGUGCCGUCGUGGACUCUACGCGUAGUACUUUUUCUCGCGACAGGGCGGCGGCGGUGACUGGCCAGCAAGUCCAUUUUUCUGGAAGACCUCGAAUCAGGUAGGGAUACCCGCUGAACUUAAGCAUAUCA
Molecule: ribosomal RNA, 530 nt
Filed under: Arthrocladiella mougeotii
Lineage: Eukaryota; Fungi; Ascomycota; Leotiomycetes; Helotiales; Erysiphaceae
Description: eukaryotic LSU rRNA
Rfam family: 5.8S ribosomal RNA (bases 170-323)
Source: RNAcentral